UUUUGGGCUUUUCUGUUAUUAAUGGG
Molecule: non-coding RNA, 26 nt
Filed under: Rattus norvegicus (Norway rat)
Lineage: Eukaryota; Metazoa; Chordata; Mammalia; Rodentia; Muridae
Source: RNAcentral